AAAGAUUUAUUUAUUUUAUGUGCAUGAGCGUUCUGCCCGCAUGUAUGUGUUUACACCACACAUGCGCCUUCAGAGUUCAGAAGACGGGGCAUCCUUCUCUGGAACUGGGGUUACAGGCAGUUGUCAGCGGCCAUGUGGGUGCUGGGAUCUGAACCCAGGUCCUCUGCAAGAGCAGCAAAUGCUCUCAGCUGCUGAGCCAUCUCUCUAGCCUCGUCUACUUUUUUAAAAAAAGAUUUAUUUAUUUAUUUAUUAAGAUUUAUAUACUUAUUGUAUAUAAGUAUACUGUAGCUGUCUUCAGACACACCAGAAGAGGGCAUCAGAUCCCAUUACGGAUGGUUGUGAGCCACCAUGUGGUUGCUGGGGAUUGAACUCAGGACCUCUGGAAGAGCGUUCAGUACCCUUAACCACUGAGCCAUCUCUCCAGCCCUCAAGUCUACUUUUUC
This 443-nucleotide long non-coding RNA is filed under the name Rattus norvegicus (Norway rat). RNAcentral's name for it is "long non-coding RNA NONRATT005978". The record is from RNAcentral. Lineage: Eukaryota; Metazoa; Chordata; Mammalia; Rodentia; Muridae.